Molecule: ribosomal RNA, 429 nt
Filed under: Bacteroidota bacterium
Lineage: Bacteria; Pseudomonadati; Bacteroidota
Description: Bacteroidetes bacterium partial 16S ribosomal RNA
Rfam family: Bacterial small subunit ribosomal RNA
Source: RNAcentral
UAGGGAAUCUUCCGCAAUGGACGCAAGUCUGACGGAGCAACGCCGCGUGAGUGAAGAAGGAUUUCGGUUCGUAAAACUCUGUUGUUAGAGAAGAACAGCGCAUAGAGUAACUGUUAUGCGUGUGACGGUAUCUAACCAGAAAGCCACGGCUAACUACGUGCCAGCAGCCGCGGUAAUACGUAGGUGGCAAGCGUUGUCCGGAUUUAUUGGGCGUAAAGCGAGCGCAGGCGGUCAAUUAAGUCUGAUGUGAAAGCCCCCGGCUCAACCGGGGAGGGUCAUUGGAAACUGGUUGACUUGAGUGCAGAAGAGGAGAGUGGAAUUCCAUGUGUAGCGGUGAAAUGCGUAGAUAUAUGGAGGAACACCAGUGGCAAAGGCGACUUUCUGGUCUGUAACUGACGCUGAUGUGCGAAAGCGUGGGGAUCAAACAGG